AUUCCCUCGUCUAAUCUCAAAAAAAAAAAAAAGGAUCUUCAUUCUAAACUGAAACCUACGAAAUCUAUAAACCCACUCACUCCUUACUUCGACAACCGAUGACUUUCGGUCUACCCCUCUCGAUGAUGAGUGACGAACGAUGACGAUUUCUAGGCUUUGGUGAGAGGUUCAAGCGAACGAGGUUCUACUUAGGGAUGUCAGAGCCGGAAAAUCGAGUCUUGUUUUGCGUUUUGUUAAAGUGCAAUUCCUUGAGUUUCAGGAAUCUACCAUAGGAGCAGUUUUUUCUCCCAGACGGUGGCGGUGAAUGAUGCAACUGUAAAGUUUGAGAUUUGGGAUACCGCUGGCUAAGAGAGGUACUAUAGUUUGGCACCAAUGUAUUACAGGGGAGCUGCAGCUGCGAUAAUUGUUUACGAUACAACGAAUCAAGAUCAAAAGCUUUAAGAAUCAGUUGAUGUGUAUAAGCUGCUAGGGGAAUCUGUGAAUUCCAAGAAGUAGGAUAUAGGGUUUGAAGAACCCAAAGCUUUUAAAUCUAAGUUUGAGAAUUGCUGCCUAGUGGAUACGAGUACAUUCCUGAUGAAAAGAAUCAACUCAAGUUGCAGAUCAAUACAAAUUACCACUAGAAG
Long non-coding RNA from Hibiscus syriacus, 623 nucleotides. RefSeq lists it as uncharacterized. Lineage: Eukaryota; Viridiplantae; Streptophyta; Magnoliopsida; Malvales; Malvaceae. The transcript has 5 exons. The record is from RefSeq and is a predicted model, not a curated record.